AUACGUAGGGUGCAAGCGUUAAUCGGAAUUACUGGGCGUAAAGCGUGCGCAGGCGGUUUUGUAAGACAGAGGGGAAAUCCCCGGGCUCAACCUGGGAACUGCCUUUGUGACUGCAAGGCUAGAGUACGGCAGAGGGGGAUGGAAUUCCGCGUGUAACCGUGAAAUGCGUAGAUAUGCGGAGGAACACCGAUGGCGAAGGCAAUCCCCUGGGCCUGUACUGACGCUCAUGCACGAAAGCGUGGGGAGCAAACAGGAUUAGAUACCCUGGUAGUCCACGCCCUAAACGAUGUCAACUGGUUGUUGGGUCUUCAUUGACUCAGUAACGAAGCUAACGCGUGAAGUUGACCGGCUGGGGAGUACGGCCGCAAGGUUGAAACUCAAAUGAAUUGGCGGGG
Molecule: ribosomal RNA, 395 nt
Filed under: uncultured bacterium
Lineage: Bacteria
Description: partial 16S ribosomal RNA
Rfam family: Bacterial small subunit ribosomal RNA
Source: RNAcentral